UUCAUGGAGAGUUUGAUCCUGGCUCAGGACGAACGCUGGCGGCGUGCCUAAUACAUGCAAGUCGAGCGGGUGAACCUGACAGAUUCCUUCGGGAUGACGUCAG
Molecule: ribosomal RNA, 103 nt
Filed under: Halalkalibacter oceani
Lineage: Bacteria; Bacillati; Bacillota; Bacilli; Caryophanales; Bacillaceae
Description: partial 16S ribosomal RNA
Rfam family: Bacterial small subunit ribosomal RNA
Source: RNAcentral